This 756-nucleotide long non-coding RNA is filed under the name Vigna radiata. Its description in RNAcentral is "long non-coding RNA (VRAD_LNC013817)". The record is from RNAcentral. Lineage: Eukaryota; Viridiplantae; Streptophyta; Magnoliopsida; Fabales; Fabaceae.
GGUAACAGGUACACUUUUUUCAUGCGGGUCGAUUUUCGGGUACCACACUAUCUGUGUCUGACCCGACCCGUUUCCAUCCCUAUGCACGACUAAUUAAAAAACAUUAAAGUUGCAUAUUAUAAGUUCAGUUUAAUAUAAAGUGUGUGAAAAUGAUAUUUUUAAGAUUAAUUACUAUAUAUAAAGUAUUCACUACAAAAACUAUUAAUUUUAGGAGAGGAUUAUUUCGUGCAGUUUUGGAAAACCCCAAUACAUUCCGGCGAUUUGUGUUUAAACCCGUAGGUACCUUUUUUUUAAAAAAAAAAAAUUCUGGCGCUUCCUAAUGAAAGCCAUCCCUAAAAUAUUUUUUUAUUUUAAAAUAAGUUUUCAGUGAUCGUUAAUAUUAGAAAAGCUCUCGCACCUUCAUUUCCAAUUCUGCCCUAAUCCCUUUUCUUCUAAGCACUCUCAUUUCUUCCCCUGCGCAGGCUUGCCUUCAUCACACUCUUUCUCGAUCUUUCCCGUUGCGUGUUCGUUCGUGUUUCGUUUUGUUUUGUGUCUUCCCCUACUUGGGCUGAGCAUCGUGGUCGAGGCGAGAUCGAAGCGGCGAGGUCGAGGCGGCGAGUUUCCGUCUCCGUGGUAUGUUCAUCUUACCUAAUCUUCAUUUUUAUCACAAAAACAUUAGUUGUGGUGACUUCUCUGUAUCUUCAUUUUUCACUCUAACCUAAUCUUUAUCGUUUCUAAAGAUCACCUCCUUCAGGUUCAUGAUUUCUAUGUUUAUGC